AUGAAAACUGACCCACACCAUUGGAGCAGGGCUUGGUUCAGGUUGGGCUCUAAUUGUGACUCGGUAGACAGCAACAUUUGCGAGUCUUUUAAUAAGUGGAUCAUGGAGCCUCGCUGUUUGCCAGCAAUCAGCAUGUUUGAAGCCAUUAGGGUGAAGAUAAUGGCUAGGAUAGAAUAUCAAAGAACCGAGUCGGACAAGUGGACUGGCACCAUUUGUCCCACGGUACUUAGAAAACUGAAGAAAAGCAUAAAUGCCUCUGCCUAUUGUCAUGCUAUUUGGAAUGGUGAAGAUUUAUAUGAGGUGACUCAUAGAGAACAUAGGUUCCAAGUGAAUCUAGAAGAGUGGACAUGUAGUUGUAGAUAUUGGCAACUAUCUGGUCUUCCAUGCCCUCAUGCUAUAUCAUGCAUUUUUUUCAAAACCAACAACAUAGAUGAUUACAUUGACAAGUGCUAUAGCAUAGAAGCAUUCAAGAAAACUUAUGCUUUUUGCCUUCAACCUGUGGAAGGCAGACCUGCAUGGCCUGUGUCUGAGAGGCCAAGACCUAAUCCACCAGGGGAGAUUACGAUGCCCGGUAGGAAGAAAAAGCAAAGGACCAGAGAGCAACAAGAGAAGCCAAGGUGUGCCACUAGGGUUUCUAAGAGAGGUACAAAUAUAAGAUGCAGCAUGUGCAAGCUACAUGGGCACAACAAGACAUCAUGCAAAGCAAGAAAUGGCACAGGGAGUUCAAAUACACCAACUCCUGAGCAAGGCCAAGGUCCUGCUAGAAGCAAAGCACCAUCAGCUGCUUCCAAACAGCCUGCUGCAAGCCAAACUGCAACAAGUAGCGAAGCACCAUGUGCUAGUCAAGGGCCAGAUAUGGUACACUAUCCAGGAAAUAUGCAUGAGCAAACCUGA
RNAcentral lists this ribosomal RNA (894 nucleotides) under Triticum aestivum (bread wheat). Its description in RNAcentral is "partial small subunit ribosomal RNA". Lineage: Eukaryota; Viridiplantae; Streptophyta; Magnoliopsida; Poales; Poaceae. The record is from RNAcentral.